AACGAACGCUGGCGGCAGGCCUAACACAUGCAAGUCGAGCGCCCAGCAAUGGGAGCGGCAGACGGGUGAGUAACGCGUGGGAACCUUCCCAAUGGUACGGAAUAGCUCAGGGAAACUUGAGGUAAUACCGCAUAAGCCCGAAAGGGGAAAGAUUUAUCGCCAUUGGAUGGGCCCGCGUAGGAUUAGCUAGUUGGUGAGGUAAUGGCUCACCAAGGCGACGAUCCUUAGCUGGUUUGAGAGAAUGACCAGCCACACUGGGACUGAGACACGGCCCAGACUCCUACGGGAGGCAGCAGUGGGGAAUCUUGGACAAUGGGCGAAAGCCUGAUCCAGCCAUGCCGCGUGAGUGACGAAGGUCUUCGGAUUGUAAAGCUCUUUUGCCAGGGACGAUAAUGACGGUACCUGGAGAAUAAGCCCCGGCUAACUUCGUGCCAGCAGCCGCGGUAAG
Molecule: ribosomal RNA, 448 nt
Filed under: uncultured bacterium
Lineage: Bacteria
Description: bacterial SSU rRNA
Rfam family: Bacterial small subunit ribosomal RNA
Source: RNAcentral